This is a non-coding RNA of Equus caballus (horse), 990 nucleotides long. NCBI's taxonomy places the organism in Eukaryota, Metazoa, Chordata, Mammalia, Perissodactyla, Equidae. The record is from RefSeq and is a predicted model, not a curated record.
AAGGAGAGAAAGAGUGCACCUUAGCAACAUAAAGUAAGGGUUAUUAUUUUACAGGAAAUAGGAUACAAAUCACAUUAACGGGCAGGAAGGAAAUCAAUCCUCAUAGUGACAAGGUGUGUUUAUUCUUAGAUACUUUAGGGAAAACAAUCACCAUCCACAGGACCAGAGCUCUCCCCACACCCCACUCCACCCCUCUCUCAAUUCCUCAGAACUUUUCCAUCUGCAGAGUUUUUUCCAGAAGAGAAAGCCAUUGACUUUCAGUGGAUGCCUUGAGGCUUCAGGAUUCGUAAAGAACUAGUUGUAAAGUGAUUUUCAUUGGUCCACAGAGAAGCAGGGCACUAAAAGAGAGAGGGCAGGAAGUGGACACUUCUGAAGGCAUAAGAAGGGCUUAGGUAAUGGGAGCAAUUUCACCAAAAUUGAACAUCAUUCAUAUUUCAUCUGCUAGUUCAGGUUGGAUUUGCUGCCCAAACAUUUGGAUCUGGUGACUGUGGAUCAGGAGCAAGGUUGGAUUUCCCUAAGAAAAGCUUGUGACAAAGAUUCAAGUGCUAGUAGCUCAUGUGAGUGAUGAUGUCUGGAAACACAGGUAGGAGACAGAGAAGAGAACGGCAAGCAGCCAAUAGAGGGCACAUUACCUGGGAAGUUACCACUGUGAGUAACUGGAGCUGACCCCAACUCUAGGAGACAGUAUGGAGCAUGGGUCUCAAAGUUAUCUCAACAAAGGGGUGAAUGGGCUGUUUAUACAUGAAUUCCAUCAACUAUUGGCUGACAGCUCAUCCAGGAGCAUAAUUCUUCAGCACUUCUGGCUGCUAAGCACAUGGACAAAGAAAACUCAAUUGGAAAUAUAGCAAGAAUACACUGAAAUAGUGAGGGUGAAUGUAUGGGCUGUUGCACACAUAGCAUCUACCACAAUUGGAAUGUUGUUUGGUAACCUGCUUUGUUCAUUUAUUAUACCUCGAAUUUUUUACAUGAUAUUAAAUGGUCUGAGUAUGA